Molecule: ribosomal RNA, 301 nt
Filed under: uncultured bacterium
Lineage: Bacteria
Description: partial 16S ribosomal RNA
Rfam family: Bacterial small subunit ribosomal RNA
Source: RNAcentral
CAGCCGCCGCGGGAAUACGUAGGUGGCAAGCGUUGUCCGGAAUUAUUGGGCGUAGAGGGCUCGCAGGCGGUUUCUUAAGUCUGAUGUGAAAGCCCCCGGCUCAACCGGGGAGGGUCAUUGGAAACUGGGAAACUUGAGUGCAGAAGAGGAGAGUGGAAUUCCACGUGUAGCGGUGAAAUACGUAGAGAUGUGGAGGAACACCAGUGGCGAAGGCGACUCUCUGGUCUGUAACUGACGCUGAGGAGCGAAAGCGUGGGGAGCGAACAGGAUUAGAUACCCGCGUAGUCCCUGUCUCUUAUAC